This 645-nucleotide ribosomal RNA is filed under the name Triticum aestivum (bread wheat). RNAcentral describes it as "partial small subunit ribosomal RNA". Lineage: Eukaryota; Viridiplantae; Streptophyta; Magnoliopsida; Poales; Poaceae. The record is from RNAcentral.
AUGGACGGGGGCACCUCUAGCAAGAGACGAGUAGAAGCCCCGGGAGAGGGACAGAGCAGCUGCAAGAGGCAGAAUGCAACCAUGGGGAUGGACACCCUCGACUGCCCCGUCUGCUUUCAUCCCCUCAGACCUCCGAUAUACCAGUGUUCUGUGGGGCAUUUCGUAUGCUCAUCUUGCCGCCCGAAGCUCGUGCGCAACAAGUGUCACUUGUGCUCUGCCGAAACUACCUUCAAGCGCUGUCUAGGGAUGGAACGUCUCAUGGAAUCAGUCACGGUCGCUUGCUCCAAUGCCAAUUAUGGAUGCGCCCAGAAGCUCACUUACUACCAGAGGGAAGAGCAUGAGGACGCGUGCCCGAGCGCCCCAUGUUUCUGCCCGGCGUCCAGCUGCAGCUUUGCAGGGCCAACAGACGCCCUCCUUGAACAUUCCGCCUCCCAGCACAAGUGGCCGUGUACAACCAUCAAUUACUCCGAAGAUGUUGAGCUCUGCCUAGAACCAGGUCUACAUUUUCUUCGUACCAAAGACAGGGAAAUUUUCCUGCUCAACGUGGCACUAGAGCCAUACGGGCAUGCCAUCUCUGUCGUCUGCAUCCAACCUAAAGCUAUAAACUCCAAGUUCAAGUGUAGGAUGUCCUUGGUUCCUUUUUGA